Helianthus annuus (common sunflower) is the source of this 1244-nucleotide RNA transcript. RefSeq lists it as uncharacterized. NCBI's taxonomy places the organism in Eukaryota, Viridiplantae, Streptophyta, Magnoliopsida, Asterales, Asteraceae. The transcript is spliced from 6 exons. The record is from RefSeq and is a predicted model, not a curated record.
UUCAAACUUUUUUGAAUCAUCAUCAGCAGGCGGGCUUUGCUUCAGACCCCUCUCCUCCAUCUCCGACAGAGAGCGAUGUUCUCGCAAACCCUAGACGACACCGACCUCGACGACGACGCUCUCUGGGCGGUAAUUGAUUCUGCCGCCGCCGUCGCCUCGUCGGCGCUUUCCUCCGCCACCAGACCUCUCAAACCUCAAAACAACAACACUCGCUUUCACUCCCCCAAAGUUAAGUUUCCAGUCAUCUCAAAAUUCACAUCUUCGUCCCCAUUAUCCCCAAACACAAACCCUAGAAAGCAUUCAAUAUCCAGAAGCGAGGUGUUGCAGGAGGAGAGCUCCCCUGACCAACGCCAGAAGAAGAUCGCCAGGUUUUCUCUUGCUGAAGCCACUUCUCCUCCUCCUGCGCCUCUUGCUAUGGUGAAGCACGUGCAACGCACGCCCACUACUCCGUCCUCGUAUCGUUCGGAUUAUGCGGUUCAGAGUCCUGUAAACUGUUCAUCUGAUUGCUCUGUUAUGACGCAUAGCUUGUCAGGUCGAUUUCCUACUGUGGAUCUGUUCAAAGAAUAUCAGAAUGCUGCUAUGGCGAUAUUGGAGAAGGGUGACUACAUGAUGAUCUCUGGGAAUCCCUUCAUCAAAAAGUCCGGUUGGAGAAAGAUAUCAUGUUAUUUCAACAUCUCGUAUGAAAUCAAAGAUAAGACUAUAGAGUUUGAUGAUAAUCGUAAUGUUCAACGUGCUGAGUUUAUAGUUCGAGCACAUAUGCAAGGGGGUAGGUUCUCCGAUGGAUGGGGCUCAUGUGAUAGACGCGAGAAAAGAUUUAUAAAACCAAAUCAUGAUAUUCCUAGCACCGCUGAAACCAGAGCAAAAAAUAAAGCAUGCCAGGACCUGCUAGGUAUUGGAGAGUAUCGUCCUGGUGUCAAUGCUCAAAGAUAAGAAGGAAAGAAGAUAAAAAACGGCAGAAUUAUUAUCAAUAACCUCUGACUAGCAAGAAGCUUGAAAGAAGAUAAAUUUGUGUUUAAAAUAAAUGGACUUUUAUUAGCCCCCUUUAAGUGAAAUGUUUCACAUGCAUCCAUAUAUAUAUGCCCUGUGUAUCAAGAUCAACCAACAUCAUGAACAUUGUUCCAACAUAACUACAAAUAUUGAUACACCUUUGUUACACAUUAUAGAAAAAAUGUUGUAAUUCAUCAAAACCUGCUAAAGCUACCUAAAUUCCAUUCUGUCCAUACAGAAAAAAAAAAAAAAGGAAA